GAUGAACGCUGGCUACAGGCUUAACACAUGCAAGUCGAGGGAAACGACGGGGAAGCUUGCUUCCCCGGGCGUCGACCGGCGCACGGGUGAGUAACGCGUAUCCAACCUGCCCCUGACUGAGGGAUAACCCGUCGAAAGUCGGCCUAAUACCUCAUGGCAUCGUCUGCGGGCAUCCAACGACGAUUAAAGAUUUCAUCGGUCAGGGAUGGGGAUGCGUCUGAUUAGCUUGUUGGCGGGGUAACGGCCCACCAAGGCUACGAUCAGUAGGGGCUCUGAGAGGAAGGUCCCCCACAUUGGAACUGAGACACGGUCCAAACUCCUACGGGAGGCAGCAGUGAGGAAUAUUGGUCAAUGGGCGAGAGCCUGAACCAGCCAAGUAGCGUGCAGGAUGACGGCCCUAUGGGUUGUAAACUGCUUUUAUGCGGGGAUAAAGUGAGGGACGUGUCCUUCAUUGCAGGUACCGCAUGAAUGAAGGACGGUGUCAACCGCA
RNAcentral lists this ribosomal RNA (490 nucleotides) under Segatella oris. RNAcentral describes it as "bacterial SSU rRNA". It matches the Rfam family "Bacterial small subunit ribosomal RNA", at positions 28 to 516 of the family's 1533-position model. The record is from RNAcentral. Lineage: Bacteria; Pseudomonadati; Bacteroidota; Bacteroidia; Bacteroidales; Prevotellaceae.